RNAcentral lists this transfer RNA (85 nucleotides) under Vibrio cholerae. RNAcentral describes it as "tRNA-Leu (TAG) (tRNA-Leu-TAG-1 1 to 4, tRNA-Leu-TAG-2 1 to 4)". It matches the Rfam family "tRNA". Rfam says of the family: Transfer RNA (tRNA) molecules are approximately 80 nucleotides in length. The record is from RNAcentral. RNAcentral also lists the same sequence under 167 other names. Lineage: Bacteria; Pseudomonadati; Pseudomonadota; Gammaproteobacteria; Vibrionales; Vibrionaceae.
GCGGAAGUGGCGAAAUUGGUAGACGCACCAGAUUUAGGUUCUGGCGCCGCGAGGCGUAAGAGUUCAAGUCUCUUCUUCCGCACCA